GACGAACGCUGGCGGCGUGCUUAACACAUGCAAGUCGAACGGACAGGCCCUGCUUUUGUGGGGUGCUCGUGUGGCGAACGGGUGUGUAACACGUGUGUAACCCCCCCUUGACUUUGGGAUAACUUCAGGAAACUCCGGCUCUUACCGGAUAGGAUCUCCUGCUGCAUGGGGGGCGUUGGAGAAAUUCGGCCGUUGGGGCUAGUCUCGCGGCUUAUCCGCUACUUUGUGGGGUAGUGACUUACCAAGGCUGUGACGGGUAGCCUGCCUGAGAGCGUGGCCGGCGACAAGGGGACUACGAGACGGCGCAGAAGGCAACGGGAGGCAGCAGUCGGGAACAUUACACAAUGGGCGGAAGCCUGAGGCAGCAGCGCCGCGUGCGGAAUGACGGCCUUUGGGUGAUAAACCGCUGUGGCCUGAGACGAGGCGUGAGUGACGGUAAUGGGUAAAGAAGCACCGGCUAACUACGUG
This 468-nucleotide ribosomal RNA is filed under the name uncultured bacterium. RNAcentral's name for it is "partial 16S ribosomal RNA". It matches the Rfam family "Bacterial small subunit ribosomal RNA", at positions 28 to 507 of the family's 1533-position model. The record is from RNAcentral.